ACUCUCGGCAACGGAUAUCUCGGCUCUCGCAUCGAUGAAGAAUGUUUCGAAAUGCGAUAAAUGGUGUGAAUUGCAGAAAUCCGUGAACCAUCGAGUCUUUAAACACAAGUUGUGCCCGAGGCCAUCUGGCUAAGGGCACGCCUGCCUGGGCAUCACGCUUUCGACGCUUCGUCGUUGCCCCCUCGGGGGGCGGGGGCGAACGCAUAGGAUGGCCCCCCAUGCCGGAAGGUGUAGUUGGCCAAAGAGCGGGCCGUCGGUGGUUGUCAAACACGACGCAUGGUGGAUGCCUUUUGCGAGCCGUAUGUCGUGCCUUUGGGACCUUGGUGAGGCCUCGAGGACCCAAGCCAUGGUGCGAGUCGAUGCCACGGACCGCGACCCCAGGUCAGGUGGGGCUACCCGCUAAGUUUAAGCAUAUAAAUAAGCGGAAGAGAAGAAACUUACGAGGAUUCCCUUAGUAACGGCGAGCGAACCGGGAUCAACCCAGCUUGAGAAUCGAGCGGCUGCAUCGUUUGAAUUGUAGUAUGGAGAAGCGUCCUCAGCGACGGACCGGGCCGAAGUCCCCUGGAAAGUGGCGCCCGGGAGGGUGAGAGCCCCGUCCAGCUCAAACCCUAUCGCACCACGAGGCACUGUCGUCGAGUCGGGUUGUUUGGGAAUACAGCCCCAAUCGAGCGAAAAAUUCCGUCCAAGGCUAAAUAUGGGCGAGAGACCGAUAGCGAACAAGUACCGUGAGGGAAAGAUGAAAAGGACUUUGAAAAGAGAGUCAAAGAGUGCUUGAAAUUGCCGGGUGGGAAGUGGAUGGGGGCCAGCGAUGCACCUCGAUUGGAUGCGGAAUGGCAGUUAGCUGGUCCACUGCUCGGCUCGGGGUGCGGAUUGAUGCGGGCUGCAUCGACGGCCGAAGCCCGGACGGAUCAUUCAUUCGAGGGGAUACCGUCGAUAUGGUCGAGGACAUGAUGCGCGCCAUCGGCAUGCCCCGUGGGGUACACAUGCGACCUAGGCAUCGACCAGUGGGCUCCCCAUCUGACCCGUCUUGAAACAUGGAUCAAGUAGUCUGACAUGCAUGCGAGUCGACGUGUGCCGAAACCCGGAAGGCACAAGGAAGCUAACGGGCAGGAACCCUCUCGAGGGGUUGCACCGCCGGCCGACCCCGAUCUUCUGUGAAGGGUUCGAGUUGGAGAAUGCAUGUCGGGACCCGAAAGAUGGUGAACUAUGCCUGAGCGAGGCGAAGCCAGAGGAAACUCUGGUGGAGGCCCGAAGCGAAACUGACGUGCAAAUCAUUCGUCUAACAUGGGUAUCGGGGUGAAAGACUAAUCGAGCCAUCUAGUAGCUGGUUCCCUCCGAUGUUUCCCUCAGGAUAGCUGGAGCCCAUGUGCGAGUUCUAUCGGGUAAAGCCAAUGAUUAGAGGCAUCGGGGGCGCAAUGCCCUCGACCUAUUCUCAUACUUUAAAUAGGUACGACGGCGCGGCUGCUUCGUUGAGCGGCGUCGCAGAAUCGAGAGCUCAAGUGGGCCAUUUUUGGUAAGCAGAAUUGGCGAUAAGGGAUGAACCGGAAGUCGGGUUAUGGUGCCCAACUGCACGCUAUCCUAGACACCACAAAGGGUGUUGGUCAAUUAAGACAGCAGGAUGGUGGUCAUGGAAGUCGAAAUCCACUAAGGAGUGUGUAACAACUCACCUGCCGAAUCAACUAGCCUCGAAAAUGGAUGGCGCUGAAGCGUGCGACCCACACCCGGCCAUCGGGGCAAGCGCCAAGCCCCAAUGAGUAGGAGGGCGCAGCGGUCGCCACAAAACCCAAGGCGCGAGCCCGGGCGGAGCGGCCGUCGGUGCAGAUCUUAGUGGUAGUAGCAAAUAUUCAAAUGCGAACUUUGAAGUCUGAAGAGGGGAAAGGUUCCAUGUGAAUGGCACUUGCACAUGGGUUAGCCGAUCCUAAGGGAUGGGGGAAGUCCGUCCGAGAGCGUGUCUCCGCGCGAGCUCCGAAAGGGAAUCGAGUUAAAAUUCCCGAGCUGGGACACGGCAACGUUAGGAAGUUCCGAGACGCCGGCGGGGGCCUCGAGAAGAGUUAUCUGUUCUGCUUAACGACCCGCCCACCCUGGAAACGGCUCAGCCGGAGGUAGGGUCCUGGAAACUGUGAAUGGCUCAUUAAAUCAGUUAUAGUUUGUUUGGUGGUACGUGCUACUAGGAUAACCAUAGUAAUUCUAGAGCUAAUAUGUGCAACAAACCCCGACUUUCGGAAGGGAUGCAUUUAUUAGAUAAAAGGCUGACGCAGGCUUUGCCUGCUGCUCCGAUGCUUCAUGAUAACUCGACGGAUCGCACGGCCUUCGUGCCGGCGAUGCAUCAUUCAAAUUUCUGCCCUUUCAACUUUUGAUGGUAGGAUAGGGGCCUACCAUGGUGGUGACGGGUGACGGAGAAUUAGGGUUCGAUUCUGGAGAGGGAGCCUGAGAAACGACUACCACAUCCAAGGAAGGCAGCAGGCGCGCAAAUUACCCAAUCCUGACACGGGGAAUUCCUAGUAAGCGAGAGUCAUCAACUCGCGUUGACUAUGUCCCUGCCCUUUGUACACAUCGCCCGUUGCUCCUACCGAAUGAAUGGUUCGGUGAAGUGUUCGGAUCGAGGCGACGGGGGCGGUUCACCGCCCGUGACGUCACGAGAAGUCCACUGAACCUUAUCAUUUAAAGGAAGGAGAAGUCAUAACAAGGUUUCCGUAGGUGAACCUGCGGAAGGAUGAUUGUCCAAACCCACUGACGAGAACGAUCGUGAAUGCGAUACCUAGUUUGAAUUGCAGAAUCCCGUGAACCAUCGAGUCUUUAAACGCAAGUUGCGCCCGAGGCCAUCCGGCUAAGGGCACGCUUGCCUGGGCGUCACGCUUUCGACGCUUCGUCGUUGCCCCCUCGAGGGGCGAGGGCGAACACGGACGAUGGCCCCCCGUGCGGGAAGGUGCGGUUGGCCGAAGAGCAGGCCAUCGGUGGUUGU
This 2962-nucleotide ribosomal RNA is filed under the name Musa schizocarpa. Its description in RNAcentral is "eukaryotic LSU rRNA". The stretch from base 373 to 2239 matches the Rfam family "Eukaryotic large subunit ribosomal RNA". The record is from RNAcentral. Lineage: Eukaryota; Viridiplantae; Streptophyta; Magnoliopsida; Zingiberales; Musaceae.